UAUUGGACAAUGGGGGAAACCCUGAUCCAGCCAUGCCGCGUGUGUGAAGAAGGUCUUCAGAUUGUAAAGCACUUUAAGUUGGGAGGAAGGGUUGUUGGCUAAUAUCCAGCAAUUUUGACGUUACCGACAGAAUAAGACCCGGCUAACUCUGUGCGAGCAGCCGCGGUAAUACAGAGGGUGCAAGCGUUAAUCGGAAGUACGGGGCGUAAAGCGCGCGGAGGGUGGUUAGUAAAGUUGGGGUGAAAUCCCCCGGGUUAAACCUGGAACUGCCUUCAAAACCGGUGAGCUUGAGGACGGGAGAGGGGUGUUGAAAUUCCUGGGGAGCCGUGAAAUGCGGUAGUAUAAGAAGGAACCCCCAGGGCGAAGGCGAACUCCUGGGCCUAUUCCGACACCUGGGGUCGAAAGCGUGGGGAGCAAAC
This 419-nucleotide ribosomal RNA is filed under the name uncultured bacterium. Its description in RNAcentral is "partial 16S ribosomal RNA". It matches the Rfam family "Bacterial small subunit ribosomal RNA", at positions 362 to 773 of the family's 1533-position model. The record is from RNAcentral.